AACCUGGUUGAUCCUGCCAGUAGUCAUAUGCUUGUUUCAAGGACUAAGCCAUGCAAGUCUCAGAAUAAAUGGAUCACAGUGAGUCUGCAGACAGCUCAUUAAAUCAGCUAUAAUCUACGCCGAGAAACUGCCUCAUGGCAGACUAUUGGAUAACUUUGGUAACCCCAAAGCUAAUACAUGUCAGCAAGACCCGCACAGAUUCAACCUUGGGCCCUCACAGGCCCGAGGCUGUGUCGGGUGCAAUUGACCGAAACAAAAACCAACCCUAGCAAUAGGAGUGGUGAUUGGAUGACUCAGGUCAAUCGAGUAGUAGCGCAUAUUUCGAUGGCGCUUGUCGGCACGAGUAUCUGACCUAUCAGCUUUUGACGGUAGUGUAAUGGACUACCGUGGCUGUAACGGGUAACGGGGAAUUAGGGUUCGAUUCCGGAGAGGGAGCCUGAGAAACGGCUACCACAACUAAGGUUGGCAGCAGGCGCGCAAAUUGCCCAAUAGCAACACAUCGCUGAGGCAGCGAAGAGAAAUAGCAACUUCAUGCGGCCCUGCCGUGUGAAGAUUGCCAUGGACGAUAUCUAAACCUGUCGAUGAGUAUCAAUUGGUGGACAAGUCUGGUGCCAGCACCCGCGGUAAUUCCAGCACCAAUAGC
This 643-nucleotide ribosomal RNA is filed under the name uncultured marine eukaryote. RNAcentral describes it as "bacterial SSU rRNA". It matches the Rfam family "Eukaryotic small subunit ribosomal RNA", at positions 1 to 598 of the family's 1831-position model. The record is from RNAcentral.